This 422-nucleotide ribosomal RNA is filed under the name uncultured Bacteroidales bacterium. Its description in RNAcentral is "bacterial SSU rRNA". It matches the Rfam family "Bacterial small subunit ribosomal RNA", at positions 355 to 774 of the family's 1533-position model. Lineage: Bacteria; Pseudomonadati; Bacteroidota; Bacteroidia; Bacteroidales. The record is from RNAcentral.
UGAGGGAUAUUGGACAAUGGGCGGAAGCCUGAUCCAGCCAUGCCGCGUGAAGGAAUAAGGCCCUAUGGGUCGUAAACUUCUUUUGACGCAGAGCAAUAAGGGACACGUGUGUUCCGAUGAGAGUAUGCGUCGAAUAAGCAUCGGCUAACUCCGUGCCAGCAGCCGCGGUAAUACGGAGGAUGCGAGCGUUAUCCGGAUUUAUUGGGUUUAAAGGGUGCGUAGGCUGUCGGUUAAGUCAGCGGUGAAAUCAGCACGCUUAACGUGUUGUUUGCCGUUGAAACUGUCCGUCUUGAAUUCGCUCGUCGUGGGAGGAAUGUGUGGUGUAGCGGUGAAAUGCAUAGAUAUCACACAGAACACCGAUUGCGAAGGCAUCUCACGAGAGCGUUAUUGACGCUGAUGCACGAAAGCGCGGGUAUCGAACA